This 496-nucleotide ribosomal RNA is filed under the name uncultured bacterium. RNAcentral's name for it is "partial 16S ribosomal RNA". It matches the Rfam family "Bacterial small subunit ribosomal RNA", at positions 29 to 507 of the family's 1533-position model. The record is from RNAcentral.
AUGAACGCUGGCGGCGUGCCUAAUACAUGCAAGUCGCGCGAACAGACGAGGAGCUUGCUCCCCUGACGUUAGCGGCGGACGGGUGAGUAACACGUGGAUAACCUACCUAUAAGACUGGGAUAACUUCGGGAAACCGGAGCUAAUACCGGAUAAUAUAUUGAACCGCAUGGUUCAAUAGUGAAAGACGGUUUUGCUGUCACUUAUAGAUGGAUCCGCGCCGCAUUAGCUAGUUGGUAAGGUAACGGCUUACCAAGGCAACGAUGCGUAGCCGACCUGAGAGGGUGAUCGGCCACACUGGAACUGAGACACGGUCCAGACUCCUACGGGAGGCAGCAGUAGGGAAUCUUCCGCAAUGGGCGAAAGCCUGACGGAGCAACGCCGCGUGAGUGAUGAAGGUCUUCGGAUCGUAAAACUCUGUUAUUAGGGAAGAACAAAUGUGUAAGUAACUAUGCACGUCUUGACGGUACCUAAUCAGAAAGCCACGGCUAACUACGUG